GGAGAAUUCUGGGAAGUGGAAGGCUGAGGGAGGAGAUGCUGCCAGCUGCCGCCUUGAGGAGCGGGAUGUAAAGUACUGAGGACCUGUGUUUGGUUUCCAGAACCCACAUGAUAGUUCGCAUCUGCCUCCUGUCCCUCCAACUCCAGGGAAUGUGACACCCUCUUCUGACUCUAUGGACACCAGGCACCCAUGUGUGGUGUACACAUGUACAUGCUAGCAUUCACAUAUACAUAAAAUAAAUGUUUUUUAAAGGCUA
This is a long non-coding RNA of Peromyscus eremicus (cactus mouse), 256 nucleotides long. RefSeq lists it as uncharacterized. Lineage: Eukaryota; Metazoa; Chordata; Mammalia; Rodentia; Cricetidae. The transcript is spliced from 2 exons. The record is from RefSeq and is a predicted model, not a curated record.